This 253-nucleotide ribosomal RNA is filed under the name uncultured bacterium. Its description in RNAcentral is "partial 16S ribosomal RNA". It matches the Rfam family "Bacterial small subunit ribosomal RNA", at positions 524 to 776 of the family's 1533-position model. The record is from RNAcentral.
UACGGAGGGUGCAAGCGUUGUUCGGAAUUAUUGGGCGUAAAGCGCGUGUAGGCGGCAUGGCAAGUCGGGUGUGAAAGCCCUCAGCUCAACUGAGGAAGUGCGCCCGAAACUGCAGAGCUUGAGUUCCGGAGAGGAUGGCGGAAUUCCCCAAGUAGAGGUGAAAUUCGUAGAUAUGGGGAGGAACACCGGUGGCGAAGGCGGCCAUCUGGACGGAAACUGACGCUGAGACGCGAAAGCGUGGGUAGCAAACAGG